AUUGAACGCUGGCGGCAGGCCUAACACAUGCAAGUCGAGCGGAUGAAGGGAGCUUGCUCCUGGAUUCAGCGGCGGACGGGUGAGUAAUGCCUAGGAAUCUGCCUGGUAGUGGGGGAUAACGUCCGGAAACGGGCGCUAAUACCGCAUACGUCCUGAGGAGAAAGUGGGGGAUCUUCGGACCUCACGCUAUCAGAUGAGCCUAGGUCGGAUUAGCUAGUUGGUGGGGUAAAGGCCUACCAUGGCGACGAUCCGUAACUGGUCUGAGAGGAUGAUCAGUCACACUGGAACUGAGACACGGUCCAGACUCCUACGGGAGGCAGCAGUGGGGAAUAUUGGACAAUGGGCGAAAGCCUGAUCCAGCCAUGCCGCGUGUGUGAAGAAGGUCUUCGGAUUGUAAAGCACUUUAAGUUGGGAGGAAGGGCAGUAAGUUAAUACCUUGCUGUUUUGACGUUACCAACAGAAUAAGCACCGGCUAACUUCGUG
RNAcentral lists this ribosomal RNA (483 nucleotides) under uncultured bacterium. RNAcentral's name for it is "partial 16S ribosomal RNA". It matches the Rfam family "Bacterial small subunit ribosomal RNA", at positions 30 to 507 of the family's 1533-position model. The record is from RNAcentral.